RNAcentral lists this ribosomal RNA (440 nucleotides) under uncultured bacterium. RNAcentral's name for it is "partial 16S ribosomal RNA". It matches the Rfam family "Bacterial small subunit ribosomal RNA", at positions 338 to 795 of the family's 1533-position model. The record is from RNAcentral.
CCUACGGGAUGCAGCAGUAGGGAAUAUUGCUCAAUGGGGGAAACCCUGAAGCAGCAACGCCGCGUGGAGGAUGAAGGUUUUCGGAUUGUAAACUCCUUUUGUUAGAGAAGAUAAUGACGGUAUCUAACGAAUAAGCACCGGCUAACUCCGUGCCAGCAGCCGCGGUAAUACGGAGGGUGCAAGCGUUACUCGGAAUCACUGGGCGUAAAGAGCGCGUAGGCGGUAUAGCAAGUCAGAUGUGAAAUCCUAGGGCUUAACCAUAGAACUGCAUUUGAAACUGUUAUUCUAGAGUAUGGGAGAGGUAGGUGGAAUUCUUGGUGUAGGGGUAAAAUCCGUAGAGAUCAAGAGGAAUACUCAUUGCGAAGGCGACCUGCUAGAACAUAACUGACGCUGAUGCGCGAAAGCGUGGGGAGCAAACAGGAUUAGAUACCCGGGUAGUC